AUGAAGCCAUUAGCCAUGUCUCCCUCUUUUUCCAGCCACCGCCGCCGUGCCCCACUGCUUGUGCUCUUGCUGCUCCAAGCUCAUCUGCUUCUAGUUGUAGCCAACAGACUCACAAUUGCAUCGACUUUCAGGCCCCCAGAUAACAUCACAUGCUCGUCCGGGGACUACGCCUUCGGGUUCCGCGCCCUUGACGCUGACCCUAGCCGGUUCCUCCUUGCCGUCUGGUUCUACUUCAACCUCACCGAGGGAGCCAGCCCUGCGGAGCACAAGGUGGUCUGGUACGCGAAAGACCCAGUCUCAGGCUCGGCAGUCACGGCCACGGCACUAUCCAUGCUUACCAUCAAAGAUGGUAUGCUCUCCCUAGCCGCUGACACCGGCAACAUCUGGAGGAACCCCAACCCUGGCAUGUGGGGCACUGACCUCGUGCUCCAGGACUCAGGCAACCUCCAGUUCCUCACCUCCCCGGGCACAACUGUCGUGUGGGAGAGCUUUCAGGAUCCGACCGAUACGCUCCUCCCGGGGCAGUACAUGGGCGCUGGAGUUGCCCUUUACUCCAAGCUCUCGGACACAGACUUCCUGUCUCGUGGCCGCUUCAGCCUGAACGUGCAGACUGACGGUCACCUUGUCUUCCACCUCCUGAACCAUGCCGCUGGCAAUCUGGCUCAGGACUUAGACAACAUAUACUGGGCGAGCGGCACAUACAAGACUGGGGAGGACGGCAACACGACUCUUUUCUUCGACUCGCCGGGGCAUCUCUACUACCAAAUCAAGGACGGCACGGUGCAUGACGCGAUACCUCCACUUCUAAACUCCACCAUUAGUUACCACCAGCACGCAUCGCUCGAUCCAGACGGCAUCGUCCGCGUCUACACCAGGCCGAAGAAUACCACCGGGGGAAGCAGCAAAGUGUUGUGGGCAGUCAGAGGACAGUUCCCAACCGAAGGUUGCACGAGGAAAACCACUUUGCAAGGUUUGUGUGGCCCCAACUCGUACUGUGUGUAUGGUCCUAACAACCGGCUGGAUUGUGAGUGCCCAAGCGGCUACUCCUAUGUCAAUUCUCAGCUCAGGUACAUGGGCUGCACACAGGGGUUCAUGCCGCAAAGCUGUGACGGGAAGAACUACUCCGCCGAGUUUGAGGUUGUCAAGCUCCCAAACACCACUUGGACAAACUCGCCAUACGAAAGACUUAUGCACAUCAGAGAGGACGAGUGUGCAGACUACUGCUUGGACGACUGCCUCUGUGUCGCUGCUACUUAUGAUGGAACUUACUGUAGCAAGAUGGUGUCGCUGGCAGGUAUCGGACGCCGUGGAGAUGACAUCGCCAUGAAGGCGUUGAUCAAGGUGCGGACGAGCAGCCCCUCGUUGCCGGUGCCACCAAGAAGGAUAUUGCCUUAUGCACUAUUCGGUGGCUCGGCAUUCCUGUUGCUGCUGUCCGGGGUAAGUAGUCUCAUGUUACAUUGCUACCUUAGGAAGAAGAAUACCAACCAUGACUUUGUUAGGGCUUACACCACAAAAGAGCUUUACAAAGCCACCAAUGGCUUUCGUAAGUUGCUAGGCAGAGGAGGCUUUGGCGAGGUCUACCAUGGGGUGUUGAAGUCGCUACAUUCCCCCGACAUAGCAGUGAAGAAGCUCAUCAGUUCCAAUGAUUACAGUGAGAGGGAGUUCGCGAAUGAGGUACAGUCCAUCGGCCAGAUCCACCAUAGGAACCUAGUCCGCAUGGUUGGUUACUGCAAAGAGAAGGAGCAACGGAUGUUGGUGUUCGAGUUCAUGCCAGGUGGUUCCCUUCGGAGCUUCCUAUUCCAGCCUCAGCAGCAACCGAUGUGGAGUUGGCGCGCUGAGGCAGCCCUUGGCAUCGCCAAGGGCCUGGAGUACUUACAUGAAGGAUGCAAUUAUCCAAUCAUCCACUGUGACAUCAAGCCCGACAAUAUAUUGUUAGAUAGCAAGAAAAAUCCGAAGAUUACUGACUUUGGGAUUGCCAGGCUUCUUAGUGACCAGCAGAUGCACACCACUGUGACCAACAUCAGGGGCACAAGGGGGUAUAUUGCUCCCGAGUGGUUCCAAAGCGACAGGCGCAUCGACACCAAGGUUGAUGUGUACAGCUUCGGUGUUGUGCUACUAGAGAUGAUAUGCUGCCGAAAGUCCCAGGAGCCAGUGCCUGGUCAGGAUGGUGACGACUCGGUCAUGCUAUUCGAGUGGGCUGGUCAGUUGAUUGCUGAUGGCAGGACCGAGGUUCUGUUUCAUAGUGAUGACGAUGCCAUUGAGGAUUUGGUCAGAGUGGAGAGGUUCUUGCGUGUUGCUCUCUGGUGCAUUGAGCAGAAUCCUUCGCUCCGCCCGACAAUGCACCAGGUGGUGCAGAUGCUGGAGGGUGUUGUUGAGGUCGACACUCUACCUGCUCCUACAAGCUCCAACUGUUCAUCGCCGUUCGCCUCUUCAGUCGACGAGAGCCCUCUGUUGUCAGCUGCUGCUACUCUCGCGAUAGAGUGA
RNAcentral lists this ribosomal RNA (2484 nucleotides) under Triticum aestivum (bread wheat). RNAcentral describes it as "partial small subunit ribosomal RNA". Lineage: Eukaryota; Viridiplantae; Streptophyta; Magnoliopsida; Poales; Poaceae. The record is from RNAcentral.